Molecule: ribosomal RNA, 1252 nt
Filed under: metagenome
Description: bacterial LSU rRNA
Rfam family: Bacterial large subunit ribosomal RNA
Source: RNAcentral
GACACGACCGUACCGCAAACCGACACUGGUGCGCGAGAUGAGUAUUCUAAGGCGCUUGAGAGAACUCAGGAGAAGGAACUCGGCAAAUUGACACCGUAACUUCGGAAGAAGGUGUGCCUUUAGUAGGUGAACCAUUUACUUGGGGAGCCCAAUGAGGCUGCAAAAAAUCGGUGGCUGCAACUGUUUAUUAAAAACACAGCACUCUGCUAAGACGAAAGUCGACGUAUAGGGUGUUACGCCUGCCCGGUGCUGGAAGAUUAAAUGAUGGGGUGCAAGCUCUUGAUUGAAGUCCCAGUAAACGGCGGCCGUAACUAUAACGGUCCUAAGGUAGCGAAAUUCCUUGUCGGGUAAGUUCCGACCUGCACGAAUGGCGUAAUGAUGGCCACACUGUCUCCUCCUGAGACUCAGCGAAGUUGAAAUGUUUGUGAUGAUGCAAUCUCCCCGCGGAAAGACGGAAAGACCCCAUGAACCUUUACUGUAGCUUUGUAUUGGACUUUGAACAGAUCUGUGUAGGAUAGGUGGGAGGCUUUGAAGUGUGGUCGCUAGAUCGCAUGGAGCCAACGUUGAAAUACCACCCUGGUGUGUUUGAGGUUCUAACCUAGGUCCAUUAUCUGGAUCGGGGACAGUGCAUGGUAGGCAGUUUGACUGGGGCGGUCUCCUCCCAAAGUGUAACGGAGGAGUUCGAAGGUACGCUAGGUACGGUCGGACAUCGUGCUAAUAGUGCAAUGGCAUAAGCGUGCUUAACUGCGAGACUGACAAGUCGAGCAGAUGCGAAAGCAGGACAUAGUGAUCCGGUGGUUCUGUAUGGAAGGGCCAUCGCUCAACGGAUAAAAGGUACUCUGGGGAUAACAGGCUGAUACCGCCCAAGAGUUCAUAUCGACGGCGGUGUUUGGCACCUCGAUGUCGGCUCAUCUCAUCCUGGGGCUGUAGCCGGUCCCAAGGGUAUGGCUGUUCGCCAUUUAAAGAGGUACGUGAGCUGGGUUUAAAACGUCGUGAGACAGUUUGGUCCCUAUCUUCCGUGGGCGCUGCAGAUUUGAGGAAGCCUGCUCCUAGUACGAGAGGACCGGAGUGGACGAACCUCUGGUGUAUCGGUUGUCACGCCAGUGGCAUUGCCGAGUAGCUAAGUUCGGAAGAGAUAACCGCUGAAAGCAUCUAAGCGGGAAACUCGUUUCAAGAUUAGAUCUGCCGGGGCCUUGAGCCCCCUAAAGAGUCGUUCAAGACCAGGACGUUGAUAGGUCAGGUGUGGAAGCCA